RNAcentral lists this ribosomal RNA (465 nucleotides) under uncultured bacterium. RNAcentral describes it as "partial 16S ribosomal RNA". It matches the Rfam family "Bacterial small subunit ribosomal RNA", at positions 338 to 795 of the family's 1533-position model. The record is from RNAcentral.
CCUACGGGCGGCAGCAGUAGGGAAUCUUCCACAAUGGGCGAAAGCCUGAUGGAGCAACGCCGCGUGGGUGAAGAAGGUCUUCGGAUCGUAAAACCCUGUUGUUAGAGAAGAAAGUGCGUGAGAGUAACUGUUCACGUUUCGACGGUAUCUAACCAGAAAGCCACGGCUAACUACGUGCCAGCAGCCGCGGUAAUACGUAGGUGGCAAGCGUUAUCCGGAUUUAUUGGGCGUAAAGGGAACGCAGGUGGUCUUUUAAGUCUGAUGUGAAAGCCUUCGGCUUAACCGGAGUAGUGCAUUGGAAGCUGGGAGACGUGAGUGCAGAAGAGGAGAGUGGAACUCCAUGUGUAGCGGUGAAAUGCGUAGAUAUAUGGAAGAACACCAGUGGCGAAAGCGGCUCUCUGGUCUGUAACUGACGCUGAGGUUCGAAAGCGUGGGUAGCAAACAGGAUUAGAUACCCUUGUAGUC